This 253-nucleotide ribosomal RNA is filed under the name uncultured bacterium. RNAcentral describes it as "partial 16S ribosomal RNA". It matches the Rfam family "Bacterial small subunit ribosomal RNA", at positions 524 to 776 of the family's 1533-position model. The record is from RNAcentral.
UACAGAGGGUGCGAGCGUUAAUCGGAAUUACUGGGCGUAAAGCGUGCGCAGGCGGUAAGUUAAGUCUGAUGUGAAAGCCCCGGGCUCAACCUGGGAACGGCAUUGGAAACUGGCUUGCUGGAGUGUGGCAGAGGGGGGUGGAAUUCCGCGUGUAGCAGUGAAAUGCGUAGAGAUGCGGAGGAACACCGAUGGCGAAGGCAGCCCCCUGGGCCAACACUGACGCUCAGGCACGAAAGCGUGGGGAGCAAACAGG